AUCUCAGAAGCUAAGCAGGGUUGGGCCUGGUUAGUACUUGGAUGGGAGAACACCUAGGUGCUGUAGGCUAAAAAACAA
Molecule: microRNA precursor, 78 nt
Filed under: Pteropus vampyrus (large flying fox)
Lineage: Eukaryota; Metazoa; Chordata; Mammalia; Chiroptera; Pteropodidae
Description: miRNA (ENSPVAG00000027941.1)
Source: RNAcentral